Molecule: ribosomal RNA, 636 nt
Filed under: Triticum aestivum (bread wheat)
Lineage: Eukaryota; Viridiplantae; Streptophyta; Magnoliopsida; Poales; Poaceae
Description: partial small subunit ribosomal RNA
Source: RNAcentral
AUGUCUUCGACAUCAUUGGGCUAUGUCGCUGUUCUACGCUGUCCGGUGAUUUUUAAUGAUGCUAAUUAUGCUGAGUUUGCUUUCUUUAUGUGCAUUCACAUGCGUGGCCUUCAUUUAUGGGAAGUUUUUUCUGACGAGGUUCCCUGUCCUCAGCGUCCAGUUCCUCAUGUGGCUCCUAUCCCACCGCCACCUCCACCGGCUCUUGGCGCAGAUGCUUCUGAUGAUGAUAGGGCUGCAGCCCGGGUUGCUGUUGACGAUGCGGUCGCUGCUUAUGACCAGCAGGUCGCGGUUUAUUCGGAUGCUCUUUCCAUUUAUCAUGAUGAUCUGACUGCUUAUACUCAGUGGUGUGAUGAUGAUGUUCGUGUUACGGCUAUCCUCACUUCCAGUGUUUUACCACAGUUUGCAUCUGAGUUUAUGGGCCUCGGUACUGUGUUUGAGAUGUGGACUCGUCUUCGUCAGCGCUAUCAGCCCUCUGGUGAUGCUCUCUACUUGUCUGUGGUACGUCAGGAGCAUGCUCUUCAACAGGGAGACUCCACUAUUGAUGAGUUCUACACUCAAAAAGUUCUGCUAUCUGGCGCCAGCUUGACUCCCUUCGCACUAUUGUUUGUGGCACUUGCGCGUGUUGCCAGACUGUGA